GUGGAUAUAGCUCAGUUGGUUAGAGCGCCAGAUUGUGGAUCUGGAGGUCGCGGGUUCGAGCCCCGUUAUCCACC
This 74-nucleotide transfer RNA is filed under the name Planctomycetaceae bacterium. Its description in RNAcentral is "tRNA-His". It matches the Rfam family "tRNA". Rfam says of the family: Transfer RNA (tRNA) molecules are approximately 80 nucleotides in length. Their secondary structure includes four short double-helical elements and three loops (D, anti-codon, and T loops). Further hydrogen bonds mediate the characteristic L-shaped molecular structure. tRNAs have two regions of fundamental functional importance: the anti-codon, which is responsible for specific mRNA codon recognition, and the 3' end, to which the tRNAs corresponding amino acid is attached (by aminoacyl-tRNA synthetases). tRNAs cope with the degeneracy of the genetic code in two manners: having more than one tRNA (with a specific anti-codon) for a particular amino acid; and 'wobble' base-pairing, i.e. permitting non-standard base-pairing at the 3rd anti-codon position. Lineage: Bacteria; Pseudomonadati; Planctomycetota; Planctomycetia; Planctomycetales; Planctomycetaceae. The record is from RNAcentral.